RNAcentral lists this transfer RNA (83 nucleotides) under Argiope bruennichi. RNAcentral describes it as "tRNA-Ser". Lineage: Eukaryota; Metazoa; Arthropoda; Arachnida; Araneae; Araneidae. The record is from RNAcentral.
GAUUUAUUAAAUUAGUAAAAUAAGAAGAUUCUAUUUAAAAGAUGUUUUGAAAGCAUCUUAUAAGAAAUUCUUCUUUAGAGUCA